CCUACGGGAGGCAGCAGUGAGGAAUAUUGGUCAAUGGGCGAGAGCCUGAACCAGCCAAGUCGCGUGAAGGAUGACGGCCCUACGGGUUGUAAACUUCUUUUGUCAGGGAGCAAUUGGUUCCACUCGUGGGCUUAGCUAGAGUACCUGAAGAAAAAGCAUCGGCUAACUCCGUGCCAGCAGCCGCGGUAUUACGGGGGAUGCGAGCGUUAUCCGGAUUUAUGGGGUGUAAAGGGUGCGUAGGCGGAAUAUCAAGUCAGCGGUAAAAAUUCGGGGCUAAACCCCGUCGUGCCGUUGAAACUGAUGUUCUUGAGUGGGCGAGAAGUAUGCGGAAUGCGUGGUGUAGCGGUGAAAUGCAUAGAUAUCACGCAGAACUCCGAUUGCGAAGGCAGCAUACCGGCGCCCAACUGACGCUGAAGCACGAAAGCGUGGGUAUCGAACAGGAUUAGAUACCCUAGUAGUC
RNAcentral lists this ribosomal RNA (460 nucleotides) under uncultured bacterium. Its description in RNAcentral is "partial 16S ribosomal RNA". It matches the Rfam family "Bacterial small subunit ribosomal RNA", at positions 338 to 795 of the family's 1533-position model. The record is from RNAcentral.